RNAcentral lists this ribosomal RNA (253 nucleotides) under uncultured bacterium. RNAcentral describes it as "partial 16S ribosomal RNA". It matches the Rfam family "Bacterial small subunit ribosomal RNA", at positions 524 to 776 of the family's 1533-position model. The record is from RNAcentral.
GACGAACCGAGCGAACGUUAUUCGGAAUCACUGGGCUUAAAGGGUGCGUAGGCGGGCCCGUUAGUCAGGGGUGAAAUCCCACGGCCCAACCGUGGAAGUGCCUCUGAUACUGCGGGCCUGGAGGGGGAUAGGGGCGUGCGGAACUUCCGGUGGAGCGGUGAAAUGCGUAGAUAUCGGAAGGAACAUCAGUGGCGAAAGCGACUUCCUGGACCAGUACCGACGUUCAGGCACGAAAGCGUGGGGAUCAAACAGG